AAUCGAAAGCGAGGUUUCAUCUGCCUGUGGUAUAUGGUGGAAGUGAGGCUGCUCAUCUCUUCAGACGGAAAUACAGUGCAGUUAUUCAUGAUGCAGUUCAUGCUUCUGUUCAGUCGUCAAGGCAAGCUCCGGCUGCAGAAAUGGUACGUGCCUCUGUCUGACAAAGAGAAAAAGAAGAUCACCAGAGAGCUGGUCCAGACCGUCUUAGCCCGGAAGCCUAAAAUGUGCAGCUUUCUGGAGUGGAGAGACCUAAAGAUUGUUUAUAAGAGAUAUGCCAGCCUGUAUUUCUGCUGUGCCAUAGAGGACCAGGACAAUGAGCUCAUCACUCUGGAAAUCAUCCACAGAUAUGUGGAGCUGCUGGAUAAAUACUUUGGCAGUGUUUGUGAGCUUGACAUUAUUUUCAACUUUGAGAAGGCCUACUUCAUUCUGGAUGAAUUCUUGCUGGGCGGUGAGGCUCAGGAAACGUCCAAGAAGAACGUUCUGAAGGCCAUCGAGCAGGCGGACCUACUGCAGGAGAAUAUAGACUUUCAGAUGCGUCUGUUUGCAGCCCCGUCAUGAGUACUUUAAUGUGCCUAUGUACUGAUUGGCUGCCAUCUGCUGCUGCUGCUGCCGCUGCUGUCCGCCCUGCAUGCUGCGCUUCUCAGUGCCUGGUACCUUUUCUCUCUGGCCUCUGAGCACCUGACCUUAUGUUCGGGGUGUAUCGUCGGCCUCACUUUCAAUUCCACUCGAAACAUGACAGCCGGGCUAAAGUGUUGUCCAGGAAGUUAACCACAGCUAAAAUUCAGUGGUGGAUUUUUUAUUAUUAUUAUUUUUAAACUGCUCCUCUGGAACAAGAAAACAUCACUUUUAAAUCGAGCUAAUAUAUUUAUGUAGCUAUUAUAAUUGUUUAUUUUAUGCAUUAUUGCAUGUCUGUCAACGGUCUGCUAAAUGUUGUACAUAUUUUUUCUUUCUAUUUGUGUAUUUUCUUGCUGUAAAGGACAAAGUUUGCAUUUUGUGUCGUCAUGAUCCAUUGUAGGGUUUUUGUUUUUGUUUUUUUAAAUGAAGCUCAAUUUCCUCUUAGACAUUUUUGCCCCAUCUUUUUCUCUUUGAGAAACUCUGACUGAAAAUUUGAGUGAAAUUCCUGGUUAAUUAACUGGCGACAUUCUUGGAACAAGAAGAUGGAUUUCAAGCUCAUUGAUUUUUGGUUAAAUAGGACACGUUAGCUCAGUUAGUCACGGGAGUCGCUUGUUCUGCGCAGCUCCCCGUCACUCUAUGGGGAAACACUGCCCCCUGUUGGAGAUUCGGCAGCACAACCAUGCAGGGAGUUUCACUGUGUUUCGGUCUUCUAUUUGCUCUCAGGACAGGAGUGUUUGCGUUUAUAGGAAAAAUAUUUUAAAAAUGAAUAACAGCUCACUGUGUACGGUCAUGCUAACUCUGAAGCUACUUAAACACAGACUGGAGGUUAAUGUUAGUUAUUUUAUUCACAGAUGUAGUGUGUGUGUGUGUGUGUUUUUUUUUUUUGGUUCACAGAAGAUGUUUUUGUCAGAUUUUAAUUCAUGUUAAAGUCUGUGUGAAUCUAAAACAAGUUAUUAAUUUACAUAUUUUUUUUGGGGGGGGGGUUCUGUCACACUGAUGAUGACUAGAAGUUGUGUGACAUUAAAAUAAGUCUGAGACAAUAGCAAAGACUAGCAAUAAUCUAGAUUCUUAAUUUCUGUUUGACAUGACUCUAUUUUUGUAUUUUAAAAUAAAUGUUAAAAAUAUCACUAAUUAGAUAUGUAAUUUCCACUGAAGGUAAGUGUUUAUAGAUGAAUUAUAUUAAAAUUUAUUUUUGCACCAAAUACAAAUUGUGUGGAUAAAUCAAGGACCACUUAUUCUCAACCGAAAUCUGUCCUCCUAACAAAUAUAAAAAUCAUAAUUGGACCGUUAUGAUGAGUGGAGUGAUGUAAUAAUUGAUUUUAACAAUAUAUAUAAUAAAUCACACAUUUAUGACCAUUAAGCUAGUUUGUUUUUUUUCUGUUGUAAACGUUUAAUUUAAAAUUUCUGUGAUGCCAUGUAGCACAUUUCUUAAACACUCAGGCAGAUGUUUAGAAACGAAGUCAUAUUUCUUGUUGGAAAGAAACUCAAUUGUGCCAAACAUUGUGUGAAAUAUCCAUACCACUUAAACUUUUUAAAAUAUUUUAUGAGAUUACAGACUUUGAUUUUAUUUGUACUUUAUGUGAAAGACCAACUUGAACUUUGACUGGUCCAUUCCAACAAGAAGAUGUUGACUCCAUACCCACAGAGCCACAUGUAACUUUUUACAGUAUCCACUGAGGCUCUAUGUAAUAUUUGUCCAAAAUGCUAAAAAAUUAAUAUUUUAAACUAAGUAUUAAAAAAUACAUAUUUUAUGUAAUGUAUACACUGCAUUAUCAGAAAAAUACUGUGAACUUUUUUCUUUUUUGUAAAAAUUUACUUUUUUUGUCUUUUGGUUGCAAAGUAUGCAUCUUUUUAAAAGAAUUAUUUUCAAUUGAAAAGUUUUGUGCGUUCCUUUUGUGCAAAACAGUUUGAUAACUUUGUUAAAACCUAAAAAAACAAAAAAUAAAUGCUUUUUUUUUUACAUUUAAAAAUCUAACUAUUUUUGAUAAGCAAAGCUAAAUAAGCUCAUUGGUUUCAUGUAGUUUUUAAACAAAGUUUGUUUAGCUGGACCAAAGCCCAAAAUGGCUGUCUGGGUUGUGACGUUAGCUGACGCCUGGUCUGUCGCAUAAAAUCCAAAAUAAAAUAUACUGAAGUUUGUAGUUCUACUCUGAUCCAAUGUGGAAAAGGUUUAAGAGGCAUAAAUAUAUAACAUGCUGUUAAAAAAAAGACAUUUAGAAAAGUUCUUGUGUAACAUGCAUCUCCGUGGUGUAGUCACAGAGUUUGAGCUUUCUUCUCUCGAAGUGCAACGUCUUCACAGAUGCAUCAAAGUUGAAAUGUUAGAUCCUCUUUCUGUGUGAAGUCGAUUUUCUGUCUCACUGCUCUGAUGAAAUUCCUCUCUUUACCUUUGUGCUGAACGCUGGCUUAGGACGCCAAAGAUGCAGAGACCUCUCGCAGCGUGCUGGAGGAAAUUGGACUCAUGUAAACAUUUCCUCCGUCAUCAUCCUCCUCAUCAUCAUCCUGCUUUGGUCUCAGAUCCCUGUCCUGUGCUGGCUACUGUUCUUCAUAGACCCGAUAACUCUUAUUCAGAAUCACACAUUCUGACUGUAAAGUCAUCUCUAGCAGUUUCUGCUUUCUUAUUUAUUUAUUUAUUUUCCUUCUCAGUUUUCCAAUGCGCAGUGAGAUGACAUAUGGGGGAAAAAAACCCCAGCAAUUUAUUAUGCUUUUUAUAUUUUGUUGUCAAGUAAGGGAAUAGAUUGUGUCACGUUAUUUAAAGGGAAGUCUAAAGUAUUACGUUAGAACCAAAGAGUAAGGUCUCAUCGUUGGGAGGUUAUCAAUAGCCGAUAAGUUUUAAACUGAAGAUGUGUGUGAAUUAAAACGCACUCACUGUGAUCACUCAACAACGCAUCACUGUUCAGUCCGGAAUAAACGCUGUAAUAUCUUCGUUUACAAGCUCACGCCGCUCUUAUCGAUCACACUUUGGCUUUACAAAAAUAGCCAAUUUACAGUCGAAUGCCUUAAACCACUGACUAGUAUUAUUUUAUUUUUUUUAUGGCAACAAUGUAGCAGGUAAACGCGCUGGAUUGGUUUUACUUCACGUAAAAGUGCAAGAAUCAAGCUGACUGUUUUUCAUUUCCAUGUUUACAACUUUGUCGACUAAAAGUCAGAGACAUGCAGCAACUGUUAACGCCGCCAAAAACAAGAACUACCCAUCCAUCCAUGGUUUAUACCCACUUGUUCUUGGAGGGGCUGGCGUCUAACUUUAGACCCUCGGAUAGAUUUAGACGUCAUUUCCUGCCUCACCGCUAGCAAAGACAUCUAGAUGUUGCUGGACUAAAUGUGGCAGCCCGUUGCCGAUGCUGCUCUAAAGUGGUUUUGUAAGACAGAUCAGGAGGUCAUCAAAACAUUUACUGAUUUUUAGUAACUUAAUUCAAAAGUGAAACUUGUGUUUUAUGUAGAUUCUUUAGACACUUGGCGACAUCUAGUUUUGAUAGUGACAACUGAAAGCUGGCAAAAACUCCAAACUCAAGCAAAUCUUAAACAUUAUUCCAAAUGAAUUGACAGUUAAUGGAAAGUUGAUUGGAAGAAAACAAUGUGGUCAAAAAUGGCAAACAAGCGCCUGAGCGAAGUUGUUCCCUCCUCCACCUUCUUCAAAUUAAAUAAACGUUUGUGCAGAAACAAAUUUUCAUUUGUGCGGCGACCGUUUUAAACAUAUUGAUAAAUGUUUCGAGAGGUCAUGAAAGGUCAAACAGACCCCCGCUCCUCCCUCCCCUCAACAUUUACCAAAUCAAACAAAAAUAACUUUCAGUAAUAUCCUCAAAACAAACUUUUUUUUUAAUGCUGCAGCAUUCUAAGACAUUUUGGACAAUUUGGAGAUGGUCAUCUAAUGUUCAAAUAUGCCUGCAAAAUAGGGCAUUAUGAAAUUCCAUAAAGACACAGAUGACUGAGUUUGUUGAGGGAAAGCUCGACUGGUCUGCUCAGAGCCACAACCUCAACCUGGAAGGACACUUUUCUGAUCCAUCAGAACAGAGUCCAGAGUCUAGAUUCUACCAUGUCUGAUGCCAAACGAGUGGAUACUUUUGGCGGCAUAAUGAAAUAUUUUUCACUUUUGAACUGAAUUACUGAAAUGACCAUUUCAGAGAUGUUCCUGUUUGCUAAGUUGCACCUGUAAGCAGCAGAGUCCAAAAAAGCUGAAUUGUGCACUGCCCGUACUUUCUAAACAAAGAGACGUCUCACCGUAGGACUAAACGAUGACACACUGUGGAGCAUGUAAAGUACCUACUGACUGUGAUCAUAAAAAUAAUAAUUUAAAAAAAAAAAAAACCUUCAGUGGUGAAACUUUCCGUUUAUAAAAAGCAAUAGAAACAUAAACCGUUGGAGUUUUUAUGCAUUGAAACAGUCAUUUUUAACCAUUUGAUCAGAAAAGAAAAAGAAGCUGCACACAUAAAAUGCCUUGGACGCAGGACUGUACAAAUUCCUUGUUAUAAAUGUGCAUUCUUGUGUAUGUCUUAUUUUGAUUUACAUGCUGAUAAAAUCCAAAUUGUGCUGUUUACAUCUUUUCUAUACCUCCUGAUGAGCGGUUUCUUGUCUAAAGAGUUUGUGUGACAGAAUCUGUGUUGUGUUUACAGUAAAAUAAAAGCCGUACAUUAC
Xiphophorus maculatus (southern platyfish) is the source of this 5241-nucleotide RNA transcript. It is a transcript of the gene named AP-1 complex subunit sigma-2, with no coding region annotated. The record is from RefSeq and is a predicted model, not a curated record. The transcript has 7 exons. Lineage: Eukaryota; Metazoa; Chordata; Actinopteri; Cyprinodontiformes; Poeciliidae.